ACUCAAAGGAAUUGACGGGGGCCCGCACAAGCGGUGGAGCAUGUGGUUCAAUUCGACGCAACGCGAAGAACCUUACCUGGGUUGGAACCCUCCAGAACCCUUCAGAGAUGAAGGGGUGCCUCUUUGAGGAGCUGGAUGUCCAGGUGCUGCAUGGCUGUCGUCAGCUCGUGUCGUGAGAUGUUGGGUUAAGUCCCGCAACGAGCGCAACCCUUGUCGUUAGUUGCCAGCGGUUCGGCCGGGCACUCUAACGAGACUGCCGGUGUUAAACCGGAGGAAGGUGGGGAUGACGUCAAGUCCUCAUGGCCCUCAUGCCCAGGGCUACACACGUGCUACAAUGGCCGGUACAAAGGGUCGCAAACCCGCGAGGGCAAGCUAAUCCCAAAAAACCGGCCUCAGUUCAGAUUGAAGUCUGCAACUCGACUUCAUGAAGUCGGAAUCGCUAGUAAUCCCUGAUCAGCAGGCAGGGGUGAAUACGUUCCCGGGCCUUGCACACACCGCCCGU
Molecule: ribosomal RNA, 502 nt
Filed under: uncultured bacterium
Lineage: Bacteria
Description: partial 16S ribosomal RNA
Rfam family: Bacterial small subunit ribosomal RNA
Source: RNAcentral